This 492-nucleotide ribosomal RNA is filed under the name uncultured bacterium. Its description in RNAcentral is "partial 16S ribosomal RNA". It matches the Rfam family "Bacterial small subunit ribosomal RNA", at positions 29 to 507 of the family's 1533-position model. The record is from RNAcentral.
AGUGAACGCUGGCGGUAGGCCUAACACAUGCAAGUCGAACGGCAGCACAGUAAGAGCUUGCUCUUACGGGUGGCGAGUGGCGGACGGGUGAGGAAUACAUCGGAAUCUACUUUUUCGUGGGGGAUAACGUAGGGAAACUUACGCUAAUACCGCAUACGAACUACGGGUGAAAGCAGGGGAUCUUCGGACCUUGCGCGAUUGAAUGAGCCGAUGUCGGAUUAGCUAGUUGGCGGGGUAAAGGCCCACCAAGGCGACGAUCCGUAGCUGGUCUGAGAGGAUGAUCAGCCACACUGGAACUGAGACACGGUCCAGACUCCUACGGGAGGCAGCAGUGGGGAAUAUUGGACAAUGGGCGCAAGCCUGAUCCAGCCAUACCGCGUGGGUGAAGAAGGCCUUCGGGUUGUAAAGCCCUUUUGUUGGGAAAGAAAAGCAGCAGGUUAAUACCCCGAUGUUCUGACGGUACCCAAAGAAUAAGCACCGGCUAACUUCGUG